Molecule: long non-coding RNA, 547 nt
Organism: Bos taurus (domestic cattle)
Lineage: Eukaryota; Metazoa; Chordata; Mammalia; Artiodactyla; Bovidae
Source: Ensembl
GUGACUAACACUAACACUUUGCCAUGGAAAGUAACAUAUUGCCAAGUUUAAGUAACAAGGAUGUGGACACUUGGAGGGAAUUAAUCAUCUACUUGGACUUCCCAGGUGGCUCAGGGGUAAAGAAUCCACCUGCACUGCAGGAGACUCAGGUUCCAUCUCUGGGUUGAAAAGAAGCCCCGGAGAAAGAAAUGGCAACCCACUCCUGUACUCUUACCUGGGAAAUCCCACAGACAGAGGACCCUACAGUCCUACAGGGACCUCAUGAAGCUGUGGAUGGGACUCUGUCCGUGACGACAUUGGCAUCCCACCUCAGGAAGAUCCCACAUGCUGCAGAGCAACCAAGCCCGUGCACCACAACUACUGAAGCCUGGACUCUAGAACCUGUGUUCUGCAACAAGAGAAGCCACCUCAAUGAGAAGCCUGCCUGGCCCAACUAGAAAGUAGCCCCCACUCAAUGCGACUAGAGAAAGCCCAUAUGCAGCACCAAAGACCCAGCACAGCCAAAAAUAAAUAAAUGAAAUAUUUUUAAAAAAUUACACCAUGGGAC